GGAUUGCUGCGUUAGCGAUUGAACGGUUUGUUUGAGCUCCUUUUUGUUUUUCUCAAAAAGAGCGAGUAGUGAAAGCGCGACCCUUG
Molecule: unclassified non-coding RNA, 86 nt
Filed under: Winogradskyella sediminis
Lineage: Bacteria; Pseudomonadati; Bacteroidota; Flavobacteriia; Flavobacteriales; Flavobacteriaceae
Description: Flavo-1 RNA
Source: RNAcentral